This is a long non-coding RNA of Ceratosolen solmsi marchali, 452 nucleotides long. RefSeq lists it as uncharacterized. The transcript is spliced from 2 exons. NCBI's taxonomy places the organism in Eukaryota, Metazoa, Arthropoda, Insecta, Hymenoptera, Agaonidae. The record is from RefSeq and is a predicted model, not a curated record.
UCCGAUCAACGAUGUGUUAUAUUAUUUGUCUGGAUAAAGGAGAAAGAUGUAUGGAAUAUUUAUAAAUCGGUAUUGCCAAUGGAUUAUUUGUGACGGCUACGUAGGCAGACAAGUGUUUAUAUUCGGGGAGGACGCUUUCUUGGAAAUUGAGAAUGGAUUUUACAACAAAAAUGUGUUACGCCAUACAAUCGAACCGCGGUAACGAGUGCUUCGCUCGAGCCUGCGCCCGUAUAUAAAAAGAAAAAAGAAACGCUCUCGCCAUAACGACGGUCAAUCCAGCCUCACAAUCACAUGCAGAUCAUCGGGUCACGGCAACCGAUUAUCUAGCCCCUAUGAAACGCGACGAUAUAAUUAGCCUAAUAAAUAAAUGCCAGCCGGCAUAAAGCGUCCGAGGAGUAGCACCGAAAAGCAAGAAAGAAAGAAAGCAAGAAAGAAAGAAAGAAAGAAAGAAA